UUUGUGGGGGUCUCUGGGUGGUGUGGCACUGGGCGUAGGUAGUCAGAGGGGUGCUGGGCAGGGGUGUGUGUGGGGGGGUCUCUGGGUGGUUUGGCACUGGGCGUAGGUAGUCAGAGGGGUGCUGGGCAGGGGUGUGUGUGUGGGGGUCUCUGGGUGGUGUGGCACUGGGCGUAGGGAGUCAGAGGGGUGCUGGGCAGGGGUGUGUGUGUGGGGGUCUCUGGGUGGUGUGGCACUGGGCGUAGGGAGCCAGAGGGGUGCUGGGCAGGGGUGUGUGUGUGGGGGUCUCUGGAUGGUGUGGCACUGGGCAUAGGGAGUCAGAGGGAUGCUGGGCAGGGGUGUGUGUGGGGGGGUCUCUGGGUGGUGUGGCACUGGGUGUAGGGAGUCAGAGGGAUGCUGGGCAGGGGUGUGUGUGUGGGGGUCUCUGGGUGGUGUGGCACUGGGCAUAGGUAGUCAGAGGGGUGCUGGGCAGGAGUGUGUGGGGGGGUCUCUGGGUGGUGUGGCACUGGGCGUAGGGAGCCAGAGGGGUGCUGGGCAGGGGUGUGUGUGUGGGGGUCUCUGGAUGGUGUGGCACUGGGCGUAGGGAGCCAGAGGGGUGCUGGGCAGGGGUGUGUGUGGGGGGGUCUCUGGGUGGUGUGGCACUGGGCGUAGGGAGUCAGAGGGGUGCUGGGCAGGAGUGUGUGGAGGGGUCUCUGGGUGGUGUGGCACUGGGCGUAGGGAGUCAGAGGGGUGCUGGGCAGGAGUGUGUGUGUGGGUCUCUGGAUGGUGUGGCACUGGGUGUAGGGAGUCAGAGGGGUGCUGGGCAGGGGUGAGUGUGUGGAGGGGUCUCUGGGUGGUGUGGCACUGGGCGUAGGGAGUCAGAGGGGUGCUGGGCAGGAGUGUGUGGAGGGGUCUCUGGGUGGUGUGGCACUGGGUGUAGGUAGUCAGAGGGGUGCUGGGCAGGGGUGUGGAGGGGUCUCUGGGUGGUGUGGCACUGGGUGUAGGGAGCCAGAGGGGUGCUGGGCAGGGGGGUAGCAUGGUGCAGCAUGGGCCCACACCGAAGGGGAAGAAGCAGGAUGGCAGCACAGGGCUGGGCUGGACAGUGCCUGUCUGGCAGCUCCCGGGUUGUAAACAGUGCCCUUGUACUGGGCUGGGUGUUUGAGUGAGGGGUGCAGGCUCUGACCUGGGGUAUAGCAG
This is a long non-coding RNA of Gopherus flavomarginatus (Mexican gopher tortoise), 1173 nucleotides long. RefSeq lists it as uncharacterized. The transcript is spliced from 5 exons. The record is from RefSeq and is a predicted model, not a curated record. NCBI's taxonomy places the organism in Eukaryota, Metazoa, Chordata, Testudines, Testudinidae.